AUACUUACCUGGCAGAGGAGACAUGCUGAUCCUGAAGGGGUCUUCCCAGGACAAGGCUCACCCAUCACACUCCAGAUGUGCCGGGCCCUGUGAUUUCCCCAAAUGUGGAAAACUCAACUGUAUAAUGUGUGGUAGUUGGGGUCUGUGUUCACGCUCUCCCCUA
Small nuclear RNA from Octodon degus (degu), 163 nucleotides. Its record names the gene U1. It matches the Rfam family "U1 spliceosomal RNA". From Rfam's summary of the family: U1 is a small nuclear RNA (snRNA) component of the spliceosome (involved in pre-mRNA splicing). Lineage: Eukaryota; Metazoa; Chordata; Mammalia; Rodentia; Octodontidae. The record is from Ensembl.